This 396-nucleotide ribosomal RNA is filed under the name uncultured bacterium. Its description in RNAcentral is "partial 16S ribosomal RNA". It matches the Rfam family "Bacterial small subunit ribosomal RNA", at positions 523 to 918 of the family's 1533-position model. The record is from RNAcentral.
AUAUGUAGGUGGCAAGCGUUGUCCGGAAUUACUGGGUGUAAAGGGCGUGUAGGCGGAGCGGCAAGUCAGAAGUGAAAUCUCCGGGCUUAACCCGGAAACUGCUUUUGAAACUGUCGCCCUUGAGUAUCGGAGAGGCAGGCGGAAUUCCUAGUGUAGCGGUGAAAUGCGUAGAUAUUAGGAGGAACACCAGUGGCGAAGGCGGCCUGCUGGACGACAACUGACGCUGAGGCGCGAAAGCGUGGGGAGCAAACAGGAUUAGAUACCCUGGUAGUCCACGCCGUAAACGAUGGAUACUAGGUGUGGGGGGACUGACCCCCUCCGUGCCGCAGUCAACACAAUAAGUAUCCCACCUGGGGAGUACGAUCGCAAGAUUGAAACUUAAAGGAAUUGACGGGG